UACGGGGGGAGCAAGCGUUGUUCGGAUUUACUGGGCGUAAAGGGCGCGUAGGCGGUCGUGACAAGUCAGUUGUGAAAUCUCCGGGCUUAACUCGGAAAGGUCAACUGAUACUGUGCGACUAGAGUGCGGAAGGGGCAACUGGAAUUCUUGGUGUAGCGGUGAAAUGCGUAGAUAUCAAGAGGAACACCUGCGGCGAAGGCGGGUUGCUGGGCCGACACUGACGCUGAGGCGCGAAAGCCAGGGGAGCGAACGGG
Molecule: ribosomal RNA, 254 nt
Filed under: uncultured bacterium
Lineage: Bacteria
Description: partial 16S ribosomal RNA
Rfam family: Bacterial small subunit ribosomal RNA
Source: RNAcentral